Molecule: long non-coding RNA, 686 nt
Organism: Pogoniulus pusillus (Red-fronted tinkerbird)
Lineage: Eukaryota; Metazoa; Chordata; Aves; Piciformes; Lybiidae
Exons: 3
Source: RefSeq, a predicted model, not a curated record
GGGCUGUGGUUACAAGGAGGGGCAGAUCUCAGAUCCCCUCCAGCUGGGCUCUGGUGGGCUGUGGUUAGGUGGAGCAGAAGACCCCCCCCCCCAGAGGAGAAGCAGAAGACCCCCAAGAUCCUGUGAGUGGUUCCCAGUGGCUGUGGUUAGGUGGAGCAGAAGACCCCCAGAGGAGGAGCAGGAGCCCCCCAAUGUCCUGUGUAAUGAGAUGGAGUCAAAAUAGCCCUGAAAGAGCCCAUAGGCAGCUGAGGAAGGAGCCAAGGGCAGGAGGAGCUGGCUUGAACCCAGCCAGGAGAAGUAAACACCAACAGAUGACUGAGUGGCAGUGAACUCUGGAGGAUUCAGCACUCACCACUUCCCCAUGAUGAGCAGCUGCCACCCAGCCAUGACGAGCACCAUUCUCAGCACCCAGCACCUCAUCAUCUCCCCAUCAUGAGUACCUAUGACCAGCAGCAUUGUCAGCACUCGUGACCUUCUCAUCACCAGCACCCAUCAUCUCACCAUUACCUCCCCAUGACCAGCACACUGUUGUAAUGGCUUGCUUUCAAUUUUGCUCAUCUCUUACAACAGGGAGUAAAGGAAGGCUCAGAAACAGAGGAUAAUGAGGGCUAUUUGUAUGUCCAAGUGUCCAUUUAUCCAUUUACACCACCAAGUGUCCAUUCCUCUCCAUCCAUUAAUGUGUUCAU